AUAGUUCUCGUGUUCCCAAACCGUCCGUCCGGCGGAUUCACGAACGGCUCUCCGCGAACGUUGAAGUAGACGGAACAUGUUUACGUUAUUGUAUAGAGCCAAGGUUUCUUUGGAUCAAUCAUGAGACUAUCACCUAUUUUACUGACAUCACAGUACUACGUGAAUAAUGUAAGACCAAAGAAUGGAAGAAGACCAACACGACAGCCAUUUCCAUUCCAAAAUAUUCUACCUAUAUCAUUGAGAGACCAUGUGUCUGGAAAAGGAAAUAAACAACAAAGAUACUCAAAAACAAAAGAAAAUUCAAGAGAGAGAGGGUGUUCUUGUGCCUGGGGAAAAGGACCUAUCUCCAAAACAACUCAAUCAACUCCUAAGGAAAUACCCUCAGCCAAAUUGAUUUUAUUAUUAUUAUUUUAUACGAAAGUUUCCUUAGAUCUGCUAAUUAAAAUCAAACACCGAGUCACUACCAGUGACCUAGGGUGAUUGAAGUUUGAGGCAAUGGAGCAUCAACGAAAACAUGCAAAAUAUGCAGAACAACCACAAAUCAAAGCAUCCAGUCAAAUCAAUUCACGCACACAAAGAACACAUCAGAUUGAUAAUGCUCUUCUGAGAACAUGUGCUGUGCUUUAUUAUUAUUAUUAUUAUCAUCAUCUUCAUUUUUUAUAUUAUCAUUAUUGUUAUUAUUAUUCUAGGUAUGUUUGUGUAAUAAAGUGUACAUAUUGAGUUGAGUCUUUCCCUGCAAGUUUAUGCAAGAAACAAUAAUUAUGUAUUAAGAAAAAAUAAAAGGAAGUGCGGCACUGUUAAAGUGUUGGACUUUGGACUACA
Penaeus monodon (black tiger shrimp) is the source of this 822-nucleotide long non-coding RNA. RefSeq lists it as uncharacterized. The record is from RefSeq and is a predicted model, not a curated record. NCBI's taxonomy places the organism in Eukaryota, Metazoa, Arthropoda, Malacostraca, Decapoda, Penaeidae. The transcript has 3 exons.